Molecule: ribosomal RNA, 511 nt
Filed under: Dacus humeralis
Lineage: Eukaryota; Metazoa; Arthropoda; Insecta; Diptera; Tephritidae
Description: partial 16S ribosomal RNA
Rfam family: Bacterial large subunit ribosomal RNA (bases 387-511)
Source: RNAcentral
GUCUUUUUGAGUUAUUUUUAAAGUCUGACCUGCCCACUGAAUUUUUAAAUGGCCGCAGUAUUCUAACUGUGCAAAGGUAGCAUAAUCAUUAGUCUUUUAAUUGAAGGCUGGUAUGAACGGUUGGACGAGGUAUAAGCUGUUUCAUAUAAAUUUAUAUUAGAAUUUUAUAUUUUAGUUAAAAAGCUAAAAUUUAGUUAAAAGACGAGAAGACCCUAUAAAUCUUUAUAUUUUGUUUAAUUUAAAUUUUUUUGAUUUGUUUUAUUUUUAUUAUAUUAAAUAUUUUGUUGGGGUGAUGUUAAAAUUUAAUGAACUUUUAAUUGUUUUAAAUCAUUAAUUUAUGAAUUAUUGAUCCAUUAAUAGUGAUUAUAAGAUUAAGUUACUUUAGGGAUAACAGCGUAAUUUUUUUGGAGAGUUCUUAUCGAUAAAAAAGUUUGCGACCUCGAUGUUGGAUUAAGAUAUAAUUUUAGGUGUAGUCGCUUAAAUUUUAAGUCUGUUCGACUUUUAAAUUCUU